GUCUACGGCCAUGCCACCCUGAACGAGCCCGAUCCCGUCUGAUCUCGGAAGCUAAGCGGGGUUGGGCCUGGUUAGUAGUACUUGGAUGGGAGACCACCUAGGAAGACCAGGUGUUGUAGGCA
This 122-nucleotide ribosomal RNA is filed under the name Pteropus alecto (black flying fox). The record is from RNAcentral. Lineage: Eukaryota; Metazoa; Chordata; Mammalia; Chiroptera; Pteropodidae.